This 403-nucleotide ribosomal RNA is filed under the name uncultured Actinomycetales bacterium. RNAcentral describes it as "bacterial SSU rRNA". It matches the Rfam family "Bacterial small subunit ribosomal RNA", at positions 356 to 774 of the family's 1533-position model. Lineage: Bacteria; Bacillati; Actinomycetota; Actinomycetes; Actinomycetales. The record is from RNAcentral.
GGGGAAUAUUGCGCAAUGGGGGAAGCCCUGACGCAGCAAUACCGCGUGAGUGAAGAAGGUUUUCGGAUCGUAAAGCUCUGUUAUUGGGGAAGAAAAUAAGACGGUACCCAAGAAGAAAGUCCCGGCUAACUACGUGCCAGCAGCCGCGGUAAUACGUAGGGCGCAAGCGUUGUCCGGAAUUAUUGGGCGUAAAGAGCUCGUAGGCGGUUUGUCGCGUCUGCUGUGAAAACCCGAGGCUCAACCUCGGGCCUGCAGUGGGUACGGGCAGACUAUAGUGCGGUAGGGGAGACCGGAAUUCCUGGUGUAGCGGUGGAAUGCGCAGAUAUCAGGAGGAACACCGAUGGCGAAGGCAGGUCUCUGGGCCGCAACUGACGCUGAGGAGCGAAAGCAUGGGUAGCGAACA